GUUAUGGACAGUUAAGUCACACAAAUUUUGGACAUUAUAGUCACACAAGUUAUGGACAUGACAGUUGCUAGAUUGUUAUUAAAGACACAUUAGCAAUAGGGAUAAAAAAUACACUAGUGAUGUAGUUCAUAUACACAAAUCAUGCCUAUUAAAGACACAAAAAGUCAUAUAAUCAAAUAUAAAAACAAAUUCAUUUCAGUGGCUUUACAGAAACAACCAAAGAACUUGGAGGCCUUCUUAAAUGAUGGAGAGUUUGCAUUGAAGGAGGGGUUCUUAAAGGAUGUAGGUCAAGAUACAUCACCCACAGCCAGUAAAUAGGUGUGCUCAUCAUCAGGUCAAGAUACAUCGCCCACAGCUGGUCAAGAGGUGUGCUCAUCAGGAAGUCAAGAUUCAUCACCCACAGCCAGUCAAGAGGUUCGGUCUUCAGCACGUAAAGAAACAUCACCCACAGUCAGUCAAGAGGUUUGGCCAUCAGAACGUCAAGAUACAUUACCCACAGCCAGUCAAGAGGUUUGCUCAUCGGCAGGUCAAGAUACAUCACCCACAGCUAGUCAAGAGGUUUGGCCAUCAGCACAUAAAGAUACAUCCCCUACAGCCAGUCAAGAGGUUUGCUCAUCAGAACGUCAAGAUACAUCACACACAGUCAGUCAGGAGGUGAACCUUAGGAAACAACUGCAACAUUGAGCCAGGUGAUAAACUUGAAACCAAACAAGCUACAAUGGCUGUGUAGCCACCUGGGUCAUACAACGAGAGUGCGCUUGGACCACUACAGGCAAAUGUCUGGCUUCAUUGAAAGAGUCAAAAUCAGCAAAGUAUUGCUGAUGCAAGACAUGGACCUUACAGAAAAGUUUGUAUGAAAGAGUCUUGAUGAAAUUGGGAGCAUUCCUUUUGAAGGUAUUUUUGAUGAUUUUUAGCUCUGCUGUUUUCGGAGAAAACCCGAGUUAUUGUC
Molecule: long non-coding RNA, 949 nt
Organism: Dreissena polymorpha
Lineage: Eukaryota; Metazoa; Mollusca; Bivalvia; Myida; Dreissenidae
Exons: 3
Source: RefSeq, a predicted model, not a curated record